UAAUACGGAGGGCGCAAGCGUUACUCGGAAUCACUGGGCGUAAAGAGCGUGUAGGCGGAUUGAUAAGUCAGAAGUGAAAUCCAAUAGCUUAACUAUUGAACUGCUUUUGAAACUGUUAAUCUAGAGUGUGGGAGAGGUAGAUGGAAUUUCUGGUGUAGGGGUAAAAUCCGUAGAGAUCAGAAGGAAUACCGAUUGCGAAGGCGAUUUACUGGAACAUAACUGACGCUGAGACGCGAAAGCGUGGGGAGCAAACAGGAUUAGAUACCCUGGUAGUCCACGCCCUAAACGAUGUACACUAGUUGUUGCUAUGCUCGACAUGGCAGUAAUGCAGUUAACACAUUAAGUGUACCGCCUGGGGAGUACGGUCGCAAGAUUA
RNAcentral lists this ribosomal RNA (376 nucleotides) under uncultured bacterium. RNAcentral's name for it is "bacterial SSU rRNA". It matches the Rfam family "Bacterial small subunit ribosomal RNA", at positions 521 to 896 of the family's 1533-position model. The record is from RNAcentral.